This 2603-nucleotide long non-coding RNA is filed under the name Homo sapiens (human). RNAcentral's name for it is "HSALNT0219114". Lineage: Eukaryota; Metazoa; Chordata; Mammalia; Primates; Hominidae. The record is from RNAcentral.
AACUCUGCCUCCCGGGUUCAAGCAAUUCUCUUGCCUCAGCCUCCCGAGUAGCUGGGAUUACAGGCAUGUGCCACCAUGCUCAGCUAAUUUUGUACUUUUAGUAGAGACGGGGUUUCUCCAUGUUGGUCAGGCUUGUCUCGAACUCCCAACCUCUGGUAAUCCACCCACCUUGGCCUCCCAAAGUGCUGGGAUUACAGGCAUGAGCCACCGCGCCCGGCCCACUCUUUAAAGUUCAGAUCACUCCUUUCCCCUGCUUAAAUCCCCUCCACCCACCAAACUCCCAGCUUCCACCUCCCUGCUUCCAAACUGAGCAGCUUGUGAUUCCCAAACAAAACCCAGGAUCUCCACUGCCCAGCUUUUGCUCAGUGUGAUUUUGUUAUGCAUGGAACACCCACACCCAUCUGCUCAUCUUAUUUUUUUCCAAUCUUUUUUUAUUGUGAUAAAAUACAUAUAAUGUAAAAUUUACUAUCUUAACCAUUUUAAAGUAUAUGGUUUAGUGGCACUAAGUACAUUCACAUUGUUGUGCAACCAUCACCACCAUCCAUCUCCUGAGCCUUUUCCUUUUACAAAACUGGAACUCUGUACCCAUUAAGCAAUAAUUCUCUAUUUUCCUUUUCCCAGCAACCAUCAUUCUACUGUCUCUUUGAUUUUGACUACUCUAAGCAUUUCAGAUGAGUAGAAUCAUACUUGUCUUUUUGUGACUGGCUGAUUUCACUUAGCAUAAUAUAGAUGUCCUGAAGGUUCAUCUGUGUUGUAGCAUAUGUUAGAACAUCCUUUUUAAGGCUGAAUAUUAUUCCACCGUGUAUAUUGUGUGUACUCCAUUUUGCUUAUCCAUUCAUCUGUUGAUAGGCACUCAGGUUGAUUCCAUGUUUUAGCUAUUGUGAAUAAUGCUAUGUACAUACGUGUGCAAGAAUCUCUUGGAGACCCCUACUCACCUAGUUUUUUUUUUAAUUUAAUUUUAUUUUUUUAAGAUGGAGUCUCACUCUGUCACCCAGGCUGGAGUGCAGUGGUGCCAUCUUGGUUCACUACAACCUCCACUUCCCGGGUUCAAGUGAUUCUCCUGCCUCAACCUCCCAAGUAGCUGGGAUUAUAGGUGUGUGCCACCACACCCGGCUAAUUUUUGUAUUUUUAGUAGAGACGGGGUUUCACCAUGUUGGCCAGGCUGGUCUCGAACUCCUGACCUCAAGUGAUCCACCCACCUCGGCCUCCCAAACUGCUGGAAUUACAGGUGUGAGCCACCGUGCAGGGCCACUCACCUGAUGUUAGACUUUCUCCACGAAGUCACUUAUUAACCUUAAUCUCCUCCACUUGACCGGCCUCUGUUUUGUUCCAGCAGCCAUUUUUCAGAUACCUGGUACGCACAAGCAGGGCCCAGCUUGGGAGACGCUAGGAUAACUAAGACCUGGUCAGCGCCCUGAGGAGUCUUGUCUGGAUAAAGGGAGACACACACUAGCUUGGACUUAUGCGUGCAGCGGAGCUGUGUAGAGCAGGAGUGCGUGGAGAGGGCAGCAAUGAACUUUGGCUGGAGAGCCAGAGAAAGCUUCGUGAGCUGGAACACGGGGUAAAGUAGGAGCUUUCCAGGGCGGAGGGGACUUCUGAAGUGGAGGAAACUGCCUGUUCAGGACAUGGAGGUAGGGAUCAAAUCCGUUUUGAGCCUCGAAGGAUGGACGAGUGUCAGAGUAGGGGGUUAGAAGGGAAAACACGGUGCCCUAUGAAGUGGAACAAUGGGGAUGAGCCCCACCCCCUGCCGCUUACUCAACAUUUACUAAACUACGAUUUACCAAGGUCACAGAGGGAGCAUGGGGUGCCGGGAACCCAGACACAACUGGAUGCCAUCUGCGGCUCUGGGAUCUCACAAUCCGGCAAGAAGACAGGCAGUAAAGGAAAUAAGAGGUGCUCUGGGCUCAGGGUGGUGUUAGCAGACACAGGGGUGUGAGGCAGGGAGUGUCCACCACCUGCAGUUGUGUGGGAGGGUUUUGAGCUUAGGCUGAGGCGUGCAAAAUGGGGAGGUGGUCCAUGAGAGCACGAGUCCAAAACCAGGUGUUAUCCAUCAAAACGAGGCCUGUCCCGGCGUGCUAAGAAGGUUCUGCUUCUUGAUCUGGGUGCCUGCCUCAGAGGUGUGUGUCAUUAUGGAAAUUCACUGAGCUAUACACUUAUAACUUCAUAUAUGUACAUUCAUGGUAGUUGUACUUGCUUAAAAUUUGCUUUUAAGUCCCCCCCCACCCCCACCAACCCCGAUACCUCUUUUGUAAGACUAAACUCUGGGGAUCCAGUCCAAUCUCAGCUCUAGGGCCUUGGGGAGGAAAUUUCAAUGAAUUAGUUUCUUCACCUGUAAAAUGCGGAUGAUUGUAUUGUCAUCACAAGGGCUGUGUGCAGCGCCAGCAACUCGAGAUACGUAAAGCAUUUAAAUAGUGCUUCCUCUGCCCCUCUCAGCAGUAUCAAAUUUCUAAUGAUUGGCAGUGUCUGGCACAGAGGAGCUCAAUGUAAUUCACUGAAUAAACGAACGAAUGAGCUCAAAGUAUGAUUUUUUUUUUUUUUUGGCACCGGGAGGUAGCUUGAACAAAUGCAGGGGUGUGGGUUGGAGUGGCGUGUCUCUACUAAAG